CGCGCGAUCCUCUCCGCGAGAACAGCCGGAGUUGGGGGCUCUCGCACCUUAAAUGCUCACAUUUGCUCGUUGCUCAGCCAGCCAUCUUCUUUCUCUAACGGCUGGUUUUGAAAGUUUGGAGGAGAAUGAAACCUAACAGAACUUUCUGAAGAAAUAGUCCACCGGCUCCAUGGACUAGGAGCUAUGGAUAAAAGUAGCCCAGGAAAUGUCACUCUCAGCCAUUCAGAUGACAUCCUUCCUUUUCAACACAGUGGGUAGGUUGUGCCAGUUCCAGCUCCCAUCCCAGGAGGACCUCCUGCCAGCCUCCUUGACAUAUGCACAUGGCCACAGUCAGACCCAGCACCAUCUGUCCCCUGUGGUGAGGUGAAGAUCCAGUUCUGCCUGAGUCUGUGUCCCAGGGGGAGAGGAGCUGGAGUGAGCCACCUCUUGGGAUUUCACUGGGCAGGAGGAGACUGGGCUACUGCAGGAGUUCUGGGGGAUGGGCUUGGUGGCAUUGCUGCAAUCACUGUUAUUUUGGGGAUGGAAGCUUUAAAAUGUAUGACAGAACCAUAUAAAUCCACGAAAGAGUUACAUCAGCCAUGGGUUUCAUCCCUGCUCUCACAGCAGAACUGUGGUGAUGAUUCGGAAAAGCAGGAAUGUACUGAACACACCCUAGACCAGUGAAAAGGAAACUCCAGCUGUAUAGCCCAAAGACACAAAUCUGGGUGAUUCAGAUGCACAGACAGCAUUAAAAGGCAGUGACAGAACCUGACAUGAGGAGCCUCCUGAUGUGACACAAUACAAAACACAACAUCACCAAGGAAGUAUCAUUACCAAAAAUGUCUAACCUGAAUCCAGCUUCAGAAAACAACAUGCCAACCCCGGUUGUGGAUAUUCUAUAAUACAAGUGGCAGGACUCUUCAGGGAAGUCAAUGCCAUUAAGAGAAACAACGAAGGCAAGAUAUUUUAGACUAAAAGGCACUAAAAAGACAUAAUUCAACACAUAAACCUUGAUUGUGGCUCAGAAUUAAAACACACACAAAUAUUAUAAAAAUCUUUGGAAACAACUGGAGAACUUUGAAUAUAAAAUGUAGAUUAGAUGUUAUUAAAUCAUUAGCUUUUUUAGCUGUGAUGAUGAUAUUGUGG
This 1125-nucleotide long non-coding RNA is filed under the name Heterocephalus glaber (naked mole-rat). Its description in RNAcentral is "lncRNA (ENSHGLG00100048224.1)". The record is from RNAcentral. Lineage: Eukaryota; Metazoa; Chordata; Mammalia; Rodentia; Bathyergidae.